CGGCAUUUUCCCCCAGAAAACAAGCGCGUAACAAAAACACUGGACACUUAGUUUAUCACAUAACUUUAAAUAUUUACGUUCAACAUAUUUCUUUUUUGUUUCGAACAAAAAAGUGCAGCUGAUGCACAUUCUGGAAAUAUAGAUAAAUAUGUGCUCAGAGCAGAGAAAUGGAAAUGAUUAGCGACUAUGUCGUGGACCCCUUUC
This 204-nucleotide long non-coding RNA is filed under the name Mytilus galloprovincialis (Mediterranean mussel). The record is from RNAcentral. Lineage: Eukaryota; Metazoa; Mollusca; Bivalvia; Mytilida; Mytilidae.